This 221-nucleotide unclassified non-coding RNA is filed under the name uncultured Ascomycota. Its description in RNAcentral is "sequence contains ITS2". Lineage: Eukaryota; Fungi; Ascomycota. The record is from RNAcentral.
ACGACCUCCUGCACAUUUGUGUCCACUUGUGUCCACAAGUGCGGGGUGUUGGGCGCUGCGGGUCCCCGGACCGGCUCGCCUGAAAUGCAGUGGUGGUGCCGAGGAGGCCCCGAUGCGCCGCUCGAAACGUAAUAACAUUCCGUCGAGAGCGGGCGGCAGCAGGGGCGGGCUCAGCGCGCUGCCUUACAGGGAUGCGGGGCAACCCCGAUCCGUCUACCACA